GGCAGUGGCUUGAAAAGGGCGAGCCUGAGCGCGCGCUAGGGGGGAUAUGACCGCUUCGGUUGAAACCUCUUUAGCACAGACGAAGCGUGAGUGACGGUAUGUGCAGAAGAAGCACCGGCCAACUACGUGCCAGCAGCCGCGGUAAUACGUAGGGUGCGAGCGUUGUCCGGAAUUACUGGGCGUAAAGAGCUCGUAGGUGGUUUGUCGCGUUGUUCGUGAAAACUCACAGCUUAACUGUGGGCGUGCGGGCGAUACGGGCAGACUGGAGUACUGCAGGGGAGACUGGAAUUCCUGGUGUAGCGGUGGAAUGCGCAGAUAUCAGGAGGAACACCGGUGGCGAAGGCGGGUCUCUGGGCAGUAACUGACGCUGAGGAGCGAAAGCGUGGGGAGCGAACAGGAUUAGAUACCCUGGUAGUCCACGCCGUAAACGGUGGGUACUAGGUGUGGGUUUCCUUCCUUGGGAUCCGUGCCGUAGCUAACGCAUUAAGUACCCCGCCUGGGGAGUACGGCCGCAAGGCUAAAACUCAAAGGAAUUUGACGG
This 541-nucleotide ribosomal RNA is filed under the name rhizosphere bacterium Ptrs6. Its description in RNAcentral is "bacterial SSU rRNA". It matches the Rfam family "Bacterial small subunit ribosomal RNA", at positions 347 to 916 of the family's 1533-position model. The record is from RNAcentral.